RNAcentral lists this long non-coding RNA (845 nucleotides) under Zostera marina. RNAcentral describes it as "long non-coding RNA (ZMAR_LNC004311)". Lineage: Eukaryota; Viridiplantae; Streptophyta; Magnoliopsida; Alismatales; Zosteraceae. The record is from RNAcentral.
AAGAAGCUAGCAGGUGUGGAUCACCUAGACGACAGUUGCAAGAACUUUCCUCCCAAAUACCUGCGAAAAAACCAGUGGGAAGGAAUGAUCACGAAGUUUUUGUCAAGCGAAUUUCAAGAAAAAUCAAAAAAGAAUUCUGAAAACCGCACAAGCAAUGAAGGAUACGUCCUCUAUAAUGGAGGAUUGGCAUCCGUUGAAACUAACACUCAAUCAUUGGUAAAACUAUUUAAUAUCUAAUUGGUUCAUUUUUUAUUUCAAGUAAUUGAUCAUUUUUUUAUGAUAUAGAGUUUGAAACUCGGUCAACCAGCUUCAUUUAAAAAAUCUUUUAUGGUCACUCAUUAUCCGAUCAACGAUAAAGGCAAGGCUCUAAUGGUACGUAUUUAAUUAUCAAUAUUUUGUAAAAAAAAAAUUCAUUACUAAUUCAUUUCUUUGUUGUUUAUAAUAGUCGGAUUACGAAACGUACAAAAAAGAACAUUUCGAUAAACAACAAUCAACAAAUGAAGACGAGGAGGAGGAGGAGUCAACACACGAAGAAGAAAUGACGACGCAAGGAUCGACAUCCUACAAGAGAAAAAGGCCGUUAUUCAUUGAUGACAGUCUGGAAGCUCGGAUUAGGGUUUCAUGAGGCAAGACGAAAGGACGUAUUCUCGGAAUGAGAUCGGGGGACGAUCCAUUGAUGCCAAAAAAAUCCAAGGCCAAAAUAAAUCAUCUAACAAAAGAAGAAAGAGAAAAGAAGAAAAAAGAAAAAUUUGAUACUCGUGUUCAAGAAACCGUUCACGCGGUCGUCAACCAGAGACUCGAGACGGUUGACCAACAAAUGGAGCUCAUGCUAAAAGUACAAACAG